This 1980-nucleotide ribosomal RNA is filed under the name Solenopsora cesatii. RNAcentral describes it as "partial large subunit ribosomal RNA". It matches the Rfam family "Eukaryotic large subunit ribosomal RNA", at positions 70 to 1409 of the family's 3401-position model. The record is from RNAcentral. Lineage: Eukaryota; Fungi; Ascomycota; Lecanoromycetes; Lecanorales; Catillariaceae.
CGGGAUUGCCCCAGUAACGGCGAGUGAAGCGGCAACAGCUCAAAUUUGAAAUCUGACCUCGCCCGGGGUCCGAGUUGUAAUUUGUAGAGGAUGCUUCGGGUGACGGUCCCGCUUAAGUCCCUUGGAACAGGGCGUCAUAGAGGGUGAGAAUCCCGUCUGCGGUGGGCACCCGGCCCUGCCAGAAGCUCCUUCGACGAGUCGAGUUGUUUGGGAAUGCAGCUCUAAACGGGUGGUAAAUUUCAUCUAAAGCUAAAUACCGGCCGGAGACCGAUAGCGCACAAGUAGAGUGAUCGAAAGAUGAAAAGCACUUUGGAAAGAGAGUCAAACAGUAUGUGAAAUUGUUGAAAGGGAAGCGCCUGCGACCAGACCUGUCUGCGGGCGAUCACCCGCCGUUCUCGGCGGGGCACUCGUCCGUCAGCAGGCCAGCGUCGGUUUUGGCGGCCGGACAAAGCCCCCGGGAACGUACCUACCCUCCGGGGAAGGCUUAUAGCCCGGGGUGACAUGCGGCCAGCCGGGACCGAGGACCGCGCUCCGGCGAGGAUGCUGGCGUAAUGGCCUUAGGCGGCCCGUCUUGAAACACGGACCAAGGAGUCUAACAUCUAUGCGAGUGUUUGGGCGUCAGACCCACACGCGGAAUGAAAGUGAACGGAGGUGGGAACCCUUCCGGGCGCACCAUCGACCGAUCCAGAUGUCUUCGGAUGGAUUUGAGUAUGAGCAUAGCCGUUAGGACCCGAAAGACGGUGAACUACACAUGGAUAGGGUGAAGCCAGAGGAAACUCUGGUGGAGGCUCGCAGCGGUUCUGACGUGCAAAUCGAUCGUCAAAUCAGUGUGUAGGGGCGAAAGACUAAUCGAACCGUCUGGUAGCUGGUUUCGGCCGAAGUUUCCCUCAGGAUAGCAGUAACGUUUUUCAGUUUUUAUGAGGUAAAGCGAAUGAUUAGAGGCCUUGGGGGGCGUAACGCCCUUCAACCUAUUCUCAAACUUUAAAUAUGUAAGAAGUCCUUGUUGCUUGGUUGAACGUGGACAUUCGAAUGCACCGUUACUAGUGGGCCAUUUUUGGUAAGCAGAACUGGCGAUGCGGGAUGAACCGAACGUGAGGUUAAGGUGCCGGAAUGCACGCUCAUCAGACACCACAAAAAGUGUUAGUUCAUCCAGACAGCCGGACGGUGGCCAUGGAAGUCGGAACCCGCUAAGGAGUGUGUUGGUCAUGUGCUUCACCCCCUGGGUUUUUAAACGCCGUAGUACCAUAACACAAUGUACGUUACAUGCUCCUCAAAGUUUGUAAACUAAAGUUGAUUUGGCGAAUUAUCCUCCCAGUUGGAACGAAAGCCUACAACAAUGUUUAGACUUUUGUACUGGCUGGAGAUAUCUGAUGGACAAGCUUGCGGGAAGUAAGGCAUACUCAACAGUCUUGCCGCGUGUGGAACCUGGAGGAAAUGUGUGUACACACACUGUAGUUCUAAUGCAGAAAAUACAUGCAUUUUGUUGCCAAACAUUCUAUAGAGCUUGAAAGUCCGCUGAUAGUCACUUGAUCAUUCUAAAUUCAAGGGGGUGUGGUUGUUACCAGCCACGCAUCCUGAGCCUAAACCACUGUAGAUAGCAGUGAAUUAGGUCGACAGACUAAACAGAAUGGGUUCCCACGCGGAACUUUGAUAUAGUCGUCCCCGGAGCCCAAAUGGUUCUGGCGUCGGAUAGGGGGCUGUUCGCAAGACAGCGGGCGACUUGACGUCGUCCCUUGCCCUGUUGCUUACCCCAAGUUGGAUCCUCUUGAAGUGCUUUGGUCUGGUUAAAUCUUGGUGCUCGGUGGAUUCCUGGAGACUUGAAUCCUUGGGGUGGUAGAUCCGUCUGGCGGUGUAACAACCCACCGGCCGAAUGAACUAGCCUUGAAAAUGGAUGGCGCUCAAGCGUGCUACCUAUACCUCGCCGCCAGGGUAGAAACGAUGCCCUGGCGAGUAGGCCGACGUGGAGGUCCGUGACGAAGC